RNAcentral lists this ribosomal RNA (253 nucleotides) under uncultured bacterium. RNAcentral's name for it is "partial 16S ribosomal RNA". It matches the Rfam family "Bacterial small subunit ribosomal RNA", at positions 524 to 776 of the family's 1533-position model. The record is from RNAcentral.
UACGAAGGGGGCUAGCGUUGUUCGGAAUUACUGGGCGUAAAGGGCGCGUAGGCGGCCUGUUAAGUUGGAUGUGAAAGCCCCGGGCUCAACCUGGGAACCGCAUUUGAUACUGGCAGGCUUGAGUUCCGGAGAGGAUGGUGGAAUUCCCAGUGUAGAGGUGAAAUUCGUAGAUAUUGGGAAGAACACCGGUGGCGAAGGCGGCCAUCUGGACGGACACUGACGCUGAGGCGCGAAAGCGUGGGGAGCAAACAGG